CUGCAAAAAACAGAAAACAAGAAGAAAACAAAUUCAUGUGUGAGCUCAUAUUCCUUUGAAUCAGCAGGCUUUUUCAUUUGUACAACCUUUAAUGUCUUCUGCAGCUGUACCUUUUGCUCCUCGUUGGCAUUGAAUUUCUCCUCGAGUUUCUGCAAGCAUAGGAGCUAAAGAUGAGGCAUACUGAUGCAUCAGCUCUUUCUUCUGUCCUCAGCAUAAACGGAGUAGACGAAGCUGGUGACUGUAAUUUGUUCCGACAGGCCGUCAAUGACUUCGUGUAACUGAAAAAAUACAAGCACAGGAUACUUGGCCACAUCUUUUGCAGCUUGCUGAAGUUGACAAAACGCAGUUCCAAUGAACAAAUAUUAGUGAAAGAAACAACACAAAUAAAUGUAGCACUAUAAACCAAAAGUGAUAUAAAUCAACCAUAAUUGGAGUCCUGCAAUCUUUAGGUGUUGUUGAGAAAAUUGCAGCUUUCUUGGCUACAGAAACAGGCUCCUUAUCAAUCGGAACCAAAUUGAUCAAUCCGCGCAAAGACUUCUGGUGUGGAUGGAACUCUCCACGUCUUGCGCCUAAUUGAUGACUUGAGCGAAGAUAAACCAUGCUUUUUCUUGCUGGUUGCAGACGAGGGCAAGACAAUUAGCAAGAGCAAGAAAGAUUUGGUGGUUUAUAUGGUUUUGUUACCUGCCAUGAUUGGUUGGGAAUUGGGGCACCAGUGUAGGAGAAGCCAUGCAUGAGACAAGCUGAAUCUCCCAUUAUUGUUGCAGAGAUUUUACAGAAUGGAGAUGGAAUUAUUAUUGCAUAUCAGGAAGGAAAAAUGUGAUCUUUGUUGUGGUAUGAGAGUUGGGUUUUAAUUUGUUUGUGGCAUGUAAUGAUUGUCCUUUAGCAUAUAGAUUUGAAAUUUAAAUGAAAACUGACGUUGAGCAGUAGAGUGGAACUGUGGAACUAUCAUUCUGCGACCACUAUUUUUAAUUGCUUUUUUCUUAGCUUCUUUUA
Salvia splendens (bonfire salvia) is the source of this 993-nucleotide long non-coding RNA. RefSeq lists it as uncharacterized. The record is from RefSeq and is a predicted model, not a curated record. The transcript is spliced from 5 exons. Lineage: Eukaryota; Viridiplantae; Streptophyta; Magnoliopsida; Lamiales; Lamiaceae.